This 87-nucleotide transfer RNA is filed under the name Escherichia coli. RNAcentral describes it as "tRNA-Ser(gga)". It matches the Rfam family "tRNA". From Rfam's summary of the family: Transfer RNA (tRNA) molecules are approximately 80 nucleotides in length. Their secondary structure includes four short double-helical elements and three loops (D, anti-codon, and T loops). Further hydrogen bonds mediate the characteristic L-shaped molecular structure. tRNAs have two regions of fundamental functional importance: the anti-codon, which is responsible for specific mRNA codon recognition, and the 3' end, to which the tRNAs corresponding amino acid is attached (by aminoacyl-tRNA synthetases). tRNAs cope with the degeneracy of the genetic code in two manners: having more than one tRNA (with a specific anti-codon) for a particular amino acid; and 'wobble' base-pairing, i.e. permitting non-standard base-pairing at the 3rd anti-codon position. The record is from RNAcentral. Lineage: Bacteria; Pseudomonadati; Pseudomonadota; Gammaproteobacteria; Enterobacterales; Enterobacteriaceae. RNAcentral also lists the same sequence under 11 other names.
GGUGAGGUGUCCGAGUGGCUGAAGGAGCACGCCUGGAAAGUGUGUAUACGGCAACGUAUCGGGGUUCGAAUCCCCCCCUCACCGCCA